This 301-nucleotide unclassified non-coding RNA is filed under the name Hevea brasiliensis (rubber tree). The record is from RNAcentral. Lineage: Eukaryota; Viridiplantae; Streptophyta; Magnoliopsida; Malpighiales; Euphorbiaceae.
GGCAUUUGGUAAAAAUUGGGAGAAUCAGAGAUUCACUUCACUUUGGCAAAUGGCGAAUCAGAUUCGUCUUGAAGCAGUACCUCUUCUAGUAGUCGUACUUAUUGGUGCCCAUGUCCUCGCUUUGGUGUACUGGAUUUAUCGGCUAGCAAAUCAGAAGCAACCCAUGAGGCUUAAAAAGCAAUAGCAUUCACUUCGUUUUUUCGGUUUUUGCUCUUUUUUAUCCUGUUAAAUUUUAUGUUUGGGGACAUUGAAAUGGUUGACAAUUUCAGUUGAAUAGAGAAAUUGGGUUUGUGUAUUUUAU